This 294-nucleotide ribosomal RNA is filed under the name Triticum aestivum (bread wheat). RNAcentral describes it as "partial small subunit ribosomal RNA". Lineage: Eukaryota; Viridiplantae; Streptophyta; Magnoliopsida; Poales; Poaceae. The record is from RNAcentral.
AUGACAGUUAUACUAGGAGGCGACUUCAGACAAAUCCUGCCAGUUAUAACGAAAGGAAGGAGAGAGCAGAUAGUUAAUGCUUCAAUCAAAAGGUCAUAUCUGUGGAAACACUUUGAAAUAUUUGAGUUAACACAAAACACGCGGCUGAAGUAUUUGUCAGAUGAUCCAAUACAAAAGCAAGAAGUCGCUGAAUUUGCAGAGUGGAUACUACAGUUUGGCGAUGGGAAAACAACAUCAGAUGAAGGAGAGGAUUGGAUAAAAAUACCAAAGGACCUACUGCUAGAGAAAGGAUAA